CUCGUUCUAACUUCAAGGAGCAGAGGCAGGAAACGUGAAGUCUGAAGCUGAGUCACGUGAUUUCCAGUAACUGCCGAGCGGAUGGGGGAGGAGCCAGUGAAAGUGUCAGACUGGUACUAACUUCAAGCAGCAGACGCAGGAAACCUGAAGUCUGAAGCUGAGUCACGUGAUUUCCAGUAACUGCCGAGCGGAUGGGGGAGGAGCCAGUGAAAGUGUCAGACUGGUACUAACUUCAAGCAGCAGACGCAGGAAACGUGAAGUCUGAGGCUGCAGUGGUCACCAACCAGUGGAGAGUCUUCACUGUGGAUCCCAGUAAAGCUCUGGACUCACUGGCUGAGGUGUGAGGACAUCGACCUGC
Molecule: long non-coding RNA, 358 nt
Organism: Limanda limanda (common dab)
Lineage: Eukaryota; Metazoa; Chordata; Actinopteri; Pleuronectiformes; Pleuronectidae
Exons: 4
Source: RefSeq, a predicted model, not a curated record